This 253-nucleotide ribosomal RNA is filed under the name uncultured bacterium. RNAcentral's name for it is "partial 16S ribosomal RNA". It matches the Rfam family "Bacterial small subunit ribosomal RNA", at positions 524 to 777 of the family's 1533-position model. The record is from RNAcentral.
UACGUAGGUGGCAAGCGUUGUCCGGAUUUACUGGGCGUAAAGAGCGCGCAGGCGGUCGUUCAAGUCGCGUGUGAAAGCCCCCGGCUCAACUGGGGAGGGUCACGCGAUACUGAUCGACUCGAAGGCAGGAGAGGGAGUGGAAUUCCCGGUGUAGUGGUGAAAUGCGUAGAUAUCGGGAGGAACACCAGUGGCGAAGGCGACUACCUGGCCUGUUCUUGACGCUGAGGCGCGAAAGCUAGGGGAGCAAACGGGG